Molecule: long non-coding RNA, 1148 nt
Filed under: Bos taurus (domestic cattle)
Lineage: Eukaryota; Metazoa; Chordata; Mammalia; Artiodactyla; Bovidae
Description: long non-coding RNA NONBTAT004856
Source: RNAcentral
UCCUACGUUUGCUUUUUUAAAUCCAAAUAUCUACGUGGAUCUAUCCCACUGAAGCCAAGGUAACAUUUAUUGGAUUUUCUGAAAAUAGAAGUGACGAAAACAAAAGUAAAUGAAAAUUAUCUUCUUCAGCUUAACGUUUCAGUUAUAAAAUAGAGGAGCUGCAUCAAAGGACAGCUUUAGGAAGUCUUAUUUAUUCAUUUUCUACCUGUGAGAAUGUGUGAGUGAAAGAACUCUAGAGCUUUUUAUCACAGAACCUAUUACCACGUUUAACCAUUAAAUGGCUGUAAGUGAGAAGUAGUAUUUAGACAUAUAGAAGAGUAAGAAAAAUCUUACUUAAAAAAAGAGCCCCUUAAACUUACAAGAUUACCUGAAAAAACAUAAGCAGUCCUCAAAAAUUAGAGGUAAUUGAGAUGUGUACAUUAUUGCAUCAGCUCUAACGUACGCUGUUGUGAAUAUUUUAGCUGUGUUUAUUGGCUUUGUACAAGUAGCUCGGACAGAGAAAGAAUGGAUCAGUAAUCUUGACCUCAGUCAAAAACUCUGUGAAGACAGGGCAGGAGACACUUUUGCCAAAUCACAUUCUUGUCUCUCACUUUCUGUCAGUGUUUAAGAAAAAAUAAAAUACAGCAAGUGUGAGUUCUCAAGGAUAAAUGUUUUCUAUAAAUUGUAAAAACAUCAUGCAUUUAAAAACAAAAUUGGAAACGCAUAUCAUGGAAGGUGUAUUUUGUAUGCAUAAAUUCACGACAAUUAAAGGCUGCUUUCAUUCUGUCAAUCAUUGCUGUGUAGAAUGACUAUCCCAGAUAGUAAUACGUUAAAAAGGAAGAAGACCCGAAAAUGUAGUGUAUCUAGACAUGAGCUUACCCAGACUUGUGUCACUUUUUAGCGUUUACAAAGUACAUUAUGUUUUCUUGUGAUCAUUUAGUACACUGGAGCAAUUUAUCAACUUUAGUUAUAAAUAUACUGAUGAAGCAUAAAAAGCUUUUUCUUCAUCAGUGUUUCGUUUAAUGCUGCUGUUUUUCUUAGUACUUCAGGUUUAUUUUUUGUUUGUUUUUAGCAACCUCCCCACCGGUUUUUUUGUGUAUCCCAUUCCUACCUUUGUUCUUCUCUUUGGGUUGAGGAACCUUUCUUUCUGCAGCAAAGGGGAGAGGUUG